RNAcentral lists this transfer RNA (73 nucleotides) under Candidatus Pacearchaeota archaeon ex4484_26. RNAcentral's name for it is "tRNA-Glu". It matches the Rfam family "tRNA". From Rfam's summary of the family: Transfer RNA (tRNA) molecules are approximately 80 nucleotides in length. Their secondary structure includes four short double-helical elements and three loops (D, anti-codon, and T loops). The record is from RNAcentral. Lineage: Archaea; Nanobdellati.
GCCCCGUUAGUGUAGAGGCCAAGCACACAGCCCUCUCGAGGCUGAGACACGGGUUCAAAUCCCGUACGGGGCA